GGAUAAUUGGGGAAGGACGUGAGAAGAAAGGGAAGGCAGCGAGGCUGCCAGAAAAAAAGAAAGAAAAAAAUAUAAAAAGGAGAGGAAGGCAGGUACGGGACAGAAGGGGGGGUCUUGGAGCGGGGUGGACAGAGGAGCUGCCUUUGGGCAGCUCGCAGACAGACGCAGCGGAACAGAAAAAUAAUUGGGGGAGAGAAGAGACUGACGUGGGCGCAAGAAGGGAGCACGGGAAGGAAAGAAGACAGUACGGGGAGAGAGGAAAGGAAAAGCAGGAAACGGUGAGGCGCAGCGAGAGGUCAGGAGGUCAGGAGGUCAGCACGCAGAAAGGAAAGAAAAUAAGAGGCCAGUGCACAGUAGGCGCAGGAAAGAGGAGGAGAGACUGACACGGGACUGAGGGCAGAGACCAGCAGAAAUGGGAGCAACACAGAGAAAAGUUUCACUCCAUUUUUCUUGGUUUUAUCUUCUCAAACUUAUGUUUAAUUUUUGGUUUAAUUUUAGAAUAAUGUGUAGCUAAAUUUAUUUUGGCUAGAGGUUAAUUCAAAGCCAUGAAUAUAUUUGUAAUAUGAAUGAUUGAUUACCUUCGGUUGUGAUUUCAUAAGUUGUGAUUUCAAUUUACUUAUCCAGUUCGUAUAAAAACUGAUUUGUGUAUGUUGGUUGAGAGUGCACGCUUAAUUUACAUGCAUGAAUUUGAUGCUAGAAUAUAAGUGAAUUUCACCUAAUCGUUAUGAACUUAUUUUCACAAGUAGUAAAGAUUGCUAGUCACAAUCACGUUAAGUAAAUUCUUGGCAAGAGUAUCAUGCUUUUCAUAGUUACGAAUGUCUCGUCAAUGCUUAUAGUUUUCACAAAGUUUAAUGAUCUUUGAUUGUAUCUCUAUUGUGCUUUUCACGUAGGGGACUUUUGAAGAAUGUUUUGAAUUGUUGUAUGCGUUUUCCCGUCCAAUUCAAUAACUUAAGGAAAACUUGAAGAUUAAAAAAGUGCUGUUCACGGUUAAUCUGGAGUAUUGAAAUUCACAAUUUAUUGAAAAAGAACAACUGAAAAUCAAUUUAGGUUGCAUAUGUGUCAUGUGUGGAGAAGAACCCUCUAGCUAGUCCGUCACUUAUCAUUUUACCUUAAUUUUAUGUUUUUGUCAAUUCUGUAAUUUAAUUAAGUUUAAUUUACUUUUAAUCAAAACCAAACACCCAUCUAUUAUUAAAUUAUAUUAUUUAGUUAGUUUUCUUUAUUGUUAGUCUUUUAAUUUAAUUUCCGUCCAUUUCAGUUCCUAGUGUUUAAUUUAAUUGUUUUCAUUAUUUUGAGUCAUUUUAAGUGUGUUUCGAGUUAUUAGAGUUUUUUAGCCUAAUUUUGUGUCCUUGAGUCUUAUUUAAUAUUUUUAAAUUAAUUUAGAAUAGAUUAGCAAUCCCUCCUAAUCCCCGGCCUAGAACGAUACCCUACUUACAUCUAUACUACAAUUGUCAAAAAGAGGGUAAAUUUUGUGUGUUAACUUAUUUUUCACAUCAAAUUUUGGCGCCGUUGCCGGGGAUUAGCAACUUUGCUAAUCCUUUUAUUUUUGUUUUUGUUUAUGUUUAUAUUGGUGUUUGUGUAUUUUACUUUUGAUAUUUGAUUUAUUUUUCUUUCUUUGAUUUUAGGUUCAAAUGGAGCCGAGGGAAAUUUAAAGGAAAGAUGCGUCCGGCUAAAGACGUUAAAUCAAGCGCUUCUUGGGAGGCAACCCAAGCAUUCAACGAAGGGAGACUUUGGAAUCACUAACCCAAUCAGCUUUGCAUUCUUCCACCCUUAUCUUUACUGCUUUCAUUUUGUUUUGUUUAGUUAGUUGUGUUAUUUGGUUGAUUUCUGUGAGUUUGUGUUAUUUAGUUUAAGUGUGGGGGAAGGUUAACCAAAGUCUCUUUACAUUAAUUUACAUAUAUAAAAAAAAAAAAAAAAAAAAAAAAAAUAAAAUUAAAAUUAAUGCAAAAAAAAAAAAAAAAAAAAAAAAAACAUAAAAAAAAAAAAAAAAAAAAAUGCAAAUAUUUUACAAUAAUGUAAACUAAUAGUAUUCAUUGGUCGGGUGGUGCUUCAGCAGUCGGUGGUGCUUCAGUAGUAGGCGGGGCUUCAGCAGUCGGCGGGGCCACAGAAGGAGGAGGCGGCAGAGGUUGAUCAGUUGGAGCUUCACUACGCGGUGCCGCUCCAGAAGACGAAGGCAGAUGCGGUUGGAACAAACCCACAAACCUCCGAUGAUCAAGUCAAGUAAAAUUUGACCAUCGGUGUCCUGCAUCUGGUCAAUCUUUCUCUUCAUGGUUGUGGCAUAGUUGUGUGCAAGCUUGUGCAAUUGUUUAUUUUCAUGCUUGAGUCCUCUAAUCUCCUCUUUGAGACUCUGUAUUUCAGCCACCAACGAUUCAACGUGACGGGUUCGAGCAAAUAGGCGUUGGGCCAUGUUGGAUACAGAACUCGCACACUGCACGCUAAGAGCCAGAGACUCCUUAACCGCCAAUUCAUCAGACCGCCUAGCGAGCAGUCUGUUAUCUCUGGGGGUGACAAGGUUCCGGGCCACCACCGCAGCGGUCAUGUCAUUUUUCAUCACCGAAUCCCCCACGGUAAGAGGACCGGUAGGGGAUAUGAAGGAUGGGCGCCAUAUAUGUUGUCUGGUGAAGGCGGAGCUGCCUCUUCACCAAUGUUCAAGUCAAAACGACGAUCGGAAGGGCCAGACAUUUUUCAGAGGUGGUGAAGAAAGAAAGAGAGUCGGAAUGAUCAAGAUUAAACAAGUGCAAGAAGGAAGUGUUUACAGGAGGGAGCUCAAGUGUGUUGUGGAACACGAUUAACGCCUCUAUAAAAAAGAAGAAAUCAAAUAGGCGCUCCUCAGAGAGGCGUCCUCUCGCAAAUCGAAGAGUCGGGACUCCUUUCUCAAAAGCCGGAUUCUUUUCUCAAAAGAGGCGUUUUCAUUUCUUAAAGGCUGGGCUUGCUCAGAAACCACGAGCCGAACCCCGGAUUUCAAAAGAUCAAUUUGUCCAGACGUGUCGUCACUUGUCACACGCAAAUUGCUUUGCGAAAUUCUCGGGCAGUUUGUCGAAGCACCAAUUCAGAAAUCGAAGAGGGAAAUUCAACAGUCAAAGACACGCUAGCUUUCUCAAAAGCUGGGCUUCAACCCACGGGCAAAAUCUUCUUUUCCAGAUUUAUCCGCACGUGUCACAUGCUACCUCUACAAUCGACGAUGCUCAGAGCUCGAAGCGCCGAUUCCAGAUAUCAAUGAGGAAUCUGCUUUGCGGAAAUUACGGGCAGCUUUGUCAGAAAGCGCGUAAUUUGUACUAUUCAUCCAUCUACCGGCUGCCGACAAUGAGUGAGAUAACAGUUCCGGUUGUGAAGAGAAGUCCUAUAUAAGUUUCUACCUUCGCCUUCCACAGCAAAGGCACACUCUCUCUCAGCACUUCUCUCUCAGCACUUCUUUUCAUCUCUGAAAAUGCAUUCCCAAAGAAUCCUCCUAAGUUACUCUGUGUUCCUAAUUCCUUGGGAUACUCCUGCGAACAACCCAUUUCAAAGCAAAAGUAUUUCAUAUCAUAAAGGUUGAAAGCAAGAGUAUCUCAUAUCAUGCUUUCUCCCUGUCCUUUCUCCAGCCAGCAGCACUUGCUCUCGAGUACUCAUCAUCUUGUGUUUCCUCUUCGUCUCUUACGUAUAAGGGAAGUGAAGAUGAUACCUCGAAGCAUGUGGAGACAACGUGCUGAUUCAUCCUCAACUAAGGACAAGGAGAAAGAGAGCAAGAGGUGGGCACUUGGAAAGAUUGAAGAAAGAAACAGACCAACACCUCUCCCUCGUGCCUGCCCGCCAUGCAGAGGAAACAAGCAGAGAAGAAUGCAGCUUGCACAAUCAUCCCAGCAGAAGGAGUCUGAGAUGAAGAACAAGAGAAGCUGCCACAUCUGCUUGGAGAACAAAUAAGGAACUGCAACAUCACCAAAGAGCAAAGCCUCGCCGUACAAUAUCAUCAAAUCAUCACUUGCAAGUAAAAAGCUAAGUGUCACCCCGUUCAAGAGGAAAGCUGUGGAAAGUCAACAAGCACGACCAAUGAUUACUUAUUAGUUUUAUUCAUUAUCUUUUAUCGUAAUUUUCAAUUUUUCGUUUGCAAUUUUUUUUUAAUUAAUUUUCUUGCGUACUUAACUGAAUUAUUUCUUUUCUUUGCAGGAACUUUUGGUUAUUUCCACCCUUGAAGUUGAUUGCAGAAUUUUAGCUUGGGGGUCAUCGCUUGAUUUUACUGCAAAUUAGGGAAGUUUUCAGUCCAAUUGCGUUAUUUUGUUUCUUAUUAUUUAUUUUAUUUUAUUUUAUUUUAUUUAUUUGCAUUAUAGUGUUUUCUGACAUUGGGGACAAUGUCAAGUUUAAGUGUGGGGGUAGAAAUCUCCAGAAUUUCAUUUGUCUCUGUGUUGUUGUUUUUUGUGUUCUUAAUUAAUUUUGUUUUCUUUUAAAAUAAAAAAUAAAAAAAAACUGUGUUGUUGUUUUUUGUGUUCUUAAUUAGUUUUGUUUUCUUUUAAAAAAAAAUUUAAAUUAAAAAAAUUUCGGAAAAUUUAAAAAUCCAAAAAUAUUGUCUUGUUUCCCUUAUUGUUUUGAAUUAGAUUUUUGUUAGUUUCCCGACCCAAUGAUAUAAUUAGAUCAAAUUUGAAUCACGAUUAUCAAGAACUUAGUUAACAUGUAUUUUAUGAAAUUCCUAAUUCUCUUGUUAGUUUUGUACAUGUUUGACCAUCUUUGAAAAACCAAAUGCACAUAGCCUUGUUAAUGUGAAACUAAAGUAUGACUUAAAGCUUCAUAUGUGAAUUUAGUGACCAUAUACAUCCUAUGUGAGUUUUUGAGCCGAUUGAAAAGUGUGUGCAUUUUUCAUACACUCUUAUUCUUUCAUGUGUGAUGAACUUAUGUGAGAUACAUCUCUAGAACUUGCGUAACGAUCUUUCGAAAUGUUUGUCAUUGAUUGCAUGAACUUGGAAAUGAUAGAGGCAUUAGGUUUACCACUAUGGCCCAAAUAACCAUGUUUCCCAAAGAAAAAUGAUAUCAUUAGUUUGCCAAUUUGAGCCGUGUUUGUUGAGCCUUUUAUUUCUUAUCACCAGAUAUGUCUACCCUUAUACCUGAAACAUUUUUCCUUACCCUUUCCAAGCGAGCAAUGCAAGAUUGUUUUAUGAGAAACGUUUGUGAAAUACUGUGAAGAUGUUUGGCAAAAGAAUAAGUGUGGGGGUAUUUCAUGUUUGUGAAUUAAAAAAAAAAAAAAAAAAAAAAAAAAAAAAAAAAAGAAAAAGAAAAGAGAAAGAUUGUAUAAAAAGAAAAUAAAAAGUUUUUAAAGUUUCAGUUUAAGGGUGUGAUUGGAGGUGCUAGAAGAAUUGUUGGAGAGCUUGAGUUCUUAUAAAUCUAAAGAAAAGAAUCGCUUUCAAUGUAGCUUGGAACUUGUGUUUUCCUAUUCUUUCGUUUCAAUAACCCUAUCCCUAAACCUCAUUACAUCCAAUAAAAGUCCUCUUGAUUUAAGUUUUGCAAUUAUGAUUGUGGAGAUGAGAUCUUUAUGCAAGCUUAUGGUAGAAAUUUCACAUUUGAUUCUUUGAGCGAAACACAUUAAAACUAAACACAUAUGUGAUUGAGUGUAUAUCCCGUGAGAAGGUUACUAGUUUGCAUAUGAUGAUUUUAAAAAUAAAAACUUGAAAUUGCAUUAGCAUGGCUAUCUCACACACUACACUUCAAGGAUGAUUCAAAGAUUACUGCUAAUAUUUGAAUAAGAAAGAUGAACUUGGAUUAGUUCCUUGAUGCUAGCUAUGGUUCUUGAUGAUUUGUUUUCUUGAAUGAAAUUCUAUGAGGGUCACAUAGAGGGAAGCUAAUGUUUUUCAUGUUAUUACUUUUUCUUGUUUUCUUUGUUUUGCUCGAGGACUAGCAAAAGUUAAGUGUGGGGGUAUUUGAUCGGAUCAUAUUUAUAUAUAUUUUUUACUUCGAAUUCACUCGUCUUUUCUUAGUUAGUUCCUUAUAUUUUUGAGCUAUUUACGUUAUUUUUGUGUUUAUAGGAUUUGUUAUGCAAAGAAAAUAAAAAUAGCACAAAUGAGUUUUAAAUAAUAAAUUCGUCGAAAAUUGCUUUAGUCGUUCUCAUUCUGUCAUGGAUUAUUGGUAGAAUUAUGUCACGGCAUAAACAAAAGAAAUGGGGAGAGUCGGUCAAAGAGGGAGCAAGAGAGCAUCAUGAUUUAUAUUUUUUUUACCUCGUUGACUCCCAUAUUCUUCACUUCUGAAAACAACAGGAAGCUGCUUUGCAGCUGGAAAGGAAGGAAUCCAAGACGCAAAGGCAGGGACCAGAAACGAAAAGAAUAAUAGAAUAAAGGAUAAUUGGGGAAGGACGUGAGAAGAAAGGGAAGGCAGCGAGGCUGCCAGAAAAAAAAGAAAGAAAAAAAUAUAAAAAGGAGAGGAAGGCAGGUACGGGACAGAAGGGGGGGUCUUGGAGCGGGGUGGACAGAGGAGCUGCCUUUGGGCAGCUCGCAGACAGACGCAGCGGAACAGAAAAAUAAUUGGGGGAGAGAAGAGACUGACGUGGGCGCAAGAAGGGAGCACGGGAAGGAAAGAAGACAGUACGGGGAGAGAGGAAAGGAAAAGCAGGAAACGGUGAGGCGCAGCGAGAGGUCAGGAGGUCAGGAGGUCAGCACGCAGAAAGGAAAGAAAAUAAGAGGCCAGUGCACAGUAGGCGCAGGAAAGAGGAGGAGAGACUGACACGGGACUGAGGGCAGAGACCAGCAGAAAUGGGAGCAACACAGAGAAAAGUUUCACUCCAUUUUUCUUGGUUUUAUCUUCUCAAACUUAUGUUUAAUUUUUGGUUUAAUUUUAGAAUAAUGUGUAGCUAAAUUUAUUUUGGCUAGAGGUUAAUUCAAAGCCAUGAAUAUAUUUGUAAUAUGAAUUGAUUACCUUCGGUUGUGAUUUCAUAAGUUGUGAUUUCAAUUUACUUAUCAGUUCGUAUAAAAACUGAUUUGUGUAUGUUGGUUGAGAGUGCACGCUUAAUUUACAUGCAUGAAUUUGAUGCUAGAAUAUAAGUGAAUUUCACCUAAUCGUUAUGAACUUAUUUUCACAAGUAGUAAAGAUUGCUAGUCACAAUCACGUUAAGUAAAUUCUUGGCAAGAGUAUCAUGCUUUUCAUAGUUACGAAUGUCUCGUCAAUGCUUAUAGUUUUCACAAAGUUUAAUGAUCUUUGAUUGUAUCUCUAUUGUGCUUUUCACGUAGGGGACUUUUGAAGAAUGUUUUGAAUUGUUGUAUGCGUUUUCCCGUCCAAUUCAAUAACUUAAGGAAAACUUGAAGAUUAAAAAAGUGCUGUUCACGGUUAAUCUGGAGUAUUGAAAUUCACAAUUUAUUGAAAGAACAACUGAAAAUCAAUUUAGGUUGCAUAUGUGUCAUGUGUGGAGAAGAACCCUCUAGCUAGUCC
RNAcentral lists this long non-coding RNA (7377 nucleotides) under Malus domestica (apple). Its description in RNAcentral is "long non-coding RNA (MDOM_LNC016444)". Lineage: Eukaryota; Viridiplantae; Streptophyta; Magnoliopsida; Rosales; Rosaceae. The record is from RNAcentral.